GCGUGCCAGCCGGAGCGGAUGAGCGGCGGCAGCAUGGCCAUGGGCGCGAGGAGCAAGCACCAUCCCAAAUCUCUGGCCCUGCGCUGCUACUGCUACGCGGCGAGCCACCGCUCCCUGACCCUGCUGGUGUGGUGCCUGGCGGCGCUGCUGGUCCUUCUGAACUUCCACCUGCUCGUCACCCACGGCAAGGAUGACCAGGGCGGCAGGCCCCGCGAGAUCCACCGGGCGAUCCUCAGGGAGCUGGAGGUGGUGGAGGAGGAGAGGUUCCAGGUGACGCCCGCCCGGAGCCGGAGGAACCCGCGGGCCGUGCGGCGCAAGGGGGAGCACACCAAGCCGCUGUCCGUGGUGGAUGAGUUCCUGGACGAGUCCUCGGCCGUGCACGACAUGUUCUUCCCGGAGCCGAGGACGGCCAUCGAUCCUGUCCACGGCGGCAACGACAGCAUGUACUUCUACCACCCCGGGAGGGUGUGGCUUGACACCGACGGCAAGCCGAUCCAGGCUCACGGAGGCGGCGUGCUGUACGAUGAGAGGACCGAGACCUACUUCUGGUACGGGGAGAACAAGGAUGGCAAGACUUACAAGGCUCACAGCAAGGGUGCUGAUCGAGUUGACAUUGUUGGAGUGAGUUGCUAUUCUUCGAAGGACCUGUGGGCAUGGAAAAAUGAAGGGGUUGUGCUCCGCGGCGAGAAAAAGAACGUGACACAUGACCUCCACGUAUCCAACGUCCUGGAGAGGCCGAAGGUGAUCUACAACGACCGGACCGGCAAGUACGUGAUGUGGAUGCACAUAGAUGACGCUAACUACACCAAGGCGUCGGUCGGCGUGGCGGUCAGCGACUCCCCCACAGGCCCGUUCUCCUACCUCUACAGCAAGCGGCCGCACGGCUGCGAGAGCAGAGACAUGACCAUUUUCAAGGAUGACAACGGGAAGGCCUACCUGAUAUACUCAUCCGAGGACAACAGCGAGCUCCACAUCGGCCAGCUGACCGACGACUACCUCGACCUGACCGACGACAUGAGGAGGUUUCUCAUCGCGCAGCACCGGGAAGCGCCGGCGCUCUUCAAGUUUGACGGCACCUACUACAUGAUAACCUCAGGGUGCACGGGGUGGGCGCCCAACACGGCGCUGGCUCACGCCGCGACGUCGGUCAUGGGGCCCUGGGAGACGCUGGGGAGCCCCUGCGUGGGAGGGAACGAAAUAUUCCGGUCGACGACCUUCUUCUCCCAGAGCACAUUCGUGCUGCCACUCCCAGGCCUGAGAGGCUCCUUCAUCUUCAUGGCCGACCGGUGGAACCCUUCGGAGCUGCGGGACUCGCGCUACGUGUGGCUGCCGCUGACGGUGGGCGGGGUGCCGGAUGAGGCCGCGGACUACAGCUUCAUGUUCCCGCUCUGGUCCCGGGUGUCGAUUUACUGGCACCGGCGGUGGCGGCUCCCCGAGGGGUGGACAGAUUCUUGA
Molecule: ribosomal RNA, 1455 nt
Filed under: Triticum aestivum (bread wheat)
Lineage: Eukaryota; Viridiplantae; Streptophyta; Magnoliopsida; Poales; Poaceae
Description: partial small subunit ribosomal RNA
Source: RNAcentral